CCUACGGGCGGCUGCAGUAGGGAAUAUUGGACAAUGGGCGAAAGCCUGAUCCAGCAAUGCCGCGUGAGUGAUGAAGGCCUUAGGGUUGUAAAGCUCUUUUACCCGAGAUGAUAAUGACAGUAUCGGGAGAAUAAGCUCCGGCUAACUCCGUGCCAGCAGCCGCGGUAAUACGGAGGGAGCUAGCGUUGUUCGGAAUUACUGGGCGUAAAGCGCACGUAGGCGGCGAUUUAAGUCAGAGGUGAAAGCCCGGGGCUCAACCCCGGAACUGCCUUUGAGACUGGAUUGCUAGAAUCUUGGAGAGGCGAGUGGAAUUCCGAGUGUAGAGGUGAAAUUCGUAGAUAUUCGGAAGAACACCAGUGGCGAAGGCGGCUCGCUGGACAAGUAUUGACGCUGAGGUGCGAAAGCGUGGGGAGCAAACAGGAUUAGAUACCCGAGUAGUC
RNAcentral lists this ribosomal RNA (440 nucleotides) under uncultured Sphingobium sp. RNAcentral's name for it is "bacterial SSU rRNA". It matches the Rfam family "Bacterial small subunit ribosomal RNA", at positions 338 to 795 of the family's 1533-position model. The record is from RNAcentral. Lineage: Bacteria; Pseudomonadati; Pseudomonadota; Alphaproteobacteria; Sphingomonadales; Sphingobiaceae.